Molecule: transfer RNA, 71 nt
Filed under: Ophionotus victoriae
Lineage: Eukaryota; Metazoa; Echinodermata; Ophiuroidea; Amphilepidida; Ophiuridae
Description: tRNA-Val
Rfam family: tRNA
About the family: Transfer RNA (tRNA) molecules are approximately 80 nucleotides in length. Their secondary structure includes four short double-helical elements and three loops (D, anti-codon, and T loops).
Source: RNAcentral
AAAAGAGUAGCUAUGUAGAAAAGUAUUGCUCUUACAAAGCAAAGAUAUUUGUUAGACUCAAAUCUUUUUUA